This 417-nucleotide ribosomal RNA is filed under the name uncultured bacterium. RNAcentral's name for it is "bacterial SSU rRNA". It matches the Rfam family "Bacterial small subunit ribosomal RNA", at positions 356 to 774 of the family's 1533-position model. The record is from RNAcentral.
AGGGAAUUUUGCGCAAUGGACGGAAGUCUGACGCAGCAACGCCGCGUGAAGGAUGAAGGCCUUCGGGUUGUAAACUUCUGUUGGAUGGGAAAAAAAGCCUUUUAAGAGGAAUUGAUGGUACCAUUCGAGUAAGCACCGGCUAACUACGUGCCAGCAGCCGCGGUAAUACGUAGGGUGCGAGCGUUGUUCGGAAUCACUGGGCGUAAAGGGAGCGUAGGCGGAACUGUAAGUUAGAAGUUUAAUACAUGGGCUCAACCCGUGGUCUGCUUUUAAAACUGCGGUUCUUGAGUAGGGGAGAGGGCGAUGGAAUUCCAGGUGUAGCGGUGGAAUGCGUAGAUAUCUGGAAGAACACCAGUAGCGAAGGCGGUCGGAUGGACCAAUACUGACGCUGAGGCUCGAAAGCUGGGGGAGCAAACA